This is a non-coding RNA of Onthophagus taurus, 339 nucleotides long. Lineage: Eukaryota; Metazoa; Arthropoda; Insecta; Coleoptera; Scarabaeidae. The record is from RefSeq and is a predicted model, not a curated record.
UUUUUUCCCCGUAUUCAUUUCAUCAAAAGUCGCUCGUUUGAACACCGCCGUACUCGGAUUUCACGACAGUGGCAAGCGUACCUAAACUAUAUCAACUUAUUUCGUCGUUUUAUUUCCGCAUAAACAUCGGCUUGGUGGGGAGCGAAAUCCAAGGUUUACGCGAUUCCCGCAGCGAAUUGUGGCGCUACGUUCAACAGGAAGUCGCGUCACCAUACACGUGGAAGUUUUGAGGGUUAGCGCCAUCUGUUAUUGGAAAGAUUAACUUCAAAAAAAUGUCUAAUAUAAUUUAAAUUCAUGUAUUAUUAUUAAAUAAAAGAUACAUUCUAUUUUCUAAGCUUA